CAAAUUAAAGCUUUUAUAGUUUUUCAUUUACAUUGAAAAGAGUCUAAAUUUUAGAUAAUUUGA
This 63-nucleotide transfer RNA is filed under the name Sininocellia gigantos. RNAcentral's name for it is "tRNA-Val". The record is from RNAcentral. Lineage: Eukaryota; Metazoa; Arthropoda; Insecta; Raphidioptera; Inocelliidae.